Molecule: ribosomal RNA, 508 nt
Filed under: uncultured bacterium
Lineage: Bacteria
Description: partial 16S ribosomal RNA
Rfam family: Bacterial small subunit ribosomal RNA
Source: RNAcentral
AUUGAACGCUGGCGGCAGGCCUAACACAUGCAAGUCGAGCGGCAGCGGGAAAGUAGCUUGCUACUUUUGCCGGCGAGCGGCGGACGGGUGAGUAAUGCCUGGGAAAUUGCCCAGUCGAGGGGGAUAACAGUUGGAAACGACUGCUAAUACCGCAUACGCCCUACGGGGGAAAGCAGGGGACCUUCGGGCCUUGGGCGAUUGGAUAUGCCCAGGUGGGAUUAGCUAGUUGGUGAGGUAAUGGCUCACCAAGGCGACGAUCCCUAGCUGGUCUGAGAGGAUGAUCAGCCACACUGGAACUGAGACACGGUCCAGACUCCUACGGGAGGCAGCAGUGGGGAAUAUUGCACAAUGGGGGAAACCCUGAUGCAGCCAUGCCGCGUGUGUGAAGAAGGCCUUCGGGUUGUAAAGCUCUUUCAGCGAGGAGGAAAGGUUGAUGCCUAAUACGUAUCAACUGUGACGUUACUCGCAGAAUAAGCACCGGCUAACUACGUGCCAGCCGCCGCCGUAA